Molecule: unclassified non-coding RNA, 148 nt
Organism: Macaca fascicularis (crab-eating macaque)
Lineage: Eukaryota; Metazoa; Chordata; Mammalia; Primates; Cercopithecidae
Rfam family: Metazoan signal recognition particle RNA
About the family: The signal recognition particle (SRP) is a universally conserved ribonucleoprotein. It is involved in the co-translational targeting of proteins to membranes.
Source: Ensembl
GCCAGGCAUGGUGGCGCAUGCCUGUAGUCUCAGUUACUCGGGAGGCUGAGGCAGGAGGAUUGCUUGAGCCCAGGACUUUGAGGCUGCAGUGAGCCAAGAUUGCACCACUGCACUCCAGCCUGGGCAACAUAGUGAGAUCCUGUCUCUA